GAGGGUAUAGCUCAGUGGUAGAGUGCACGCUUAGCAUGCAUGAAAUUGUGGGUUCAAUCCCCAGCACCUCCA
This 72-nucleotide transfer RNA is filed under the name Camelus bactrianus (Bactrian camel). It matches the Rfam family "tRNA". Rfam says of the family: Transfer RNA (tRNA) molecules are approximately 80 nucleotides in length. The record is from Rfam by way of RNAcentral. RNAcentral also lists the same sequence under 2 other names. Lineage: Eukaryota; Metazoa; Chordata; Mammalia; Artiodactyla; Camelidae.